ACGAAAAUGAACAUAACAAGAUCGAGUAUUGAACGAGAAGUACGCCGCAUAAUUAAGUUUCAUUGGUAAAGUGAAAGGCUAUUAUUUGGUAAUAAACUGGGCGUCGUAAUGAUACGAGAACAUAACAGUUUCGCGUUUCUUUUAACGCGUAUCCCUGGCAAACGACCAUCGAUAAUGGCGCAAACAAACUCGCUCUGAUCCUCUGAUCAAGCGAUUAAUUACAAAAGUCGAAGGGGCACGUCGUCGUUGAUCCCAAGAUGAAUGCCAAUCUUUUGUGUCUUUUCCAUUGUUCGCGCGUAUAAACAUCCCUAACAGUCUUCAGUGGAGAAUCUUUUCAUGCGCUUCCCCGUACGAAUCUUCUCCCCCCCAUCGUGCAUAUCGUCUUCCUUCUACGCAAACGAUCCGAUGAAAUCGCAACGGUCGUUUCUCGAUGAUGGAGAAUAGGACUAGGUCAACGGAAACGAGCUAGUGGAGAGUCCAGGUAUGGAUGGGCAGGUGUCGAUGCGAUUCGAGGACGAAAUAAACACGAUUUCAGCUUUGAUGAAAGGACUUGGCUUUUGGGGAGGCGAAAGUGGCGAAUGUCGUGAAGAAUUUACGGAUUAAGAGAGAAUAGAGAUUGUUUGGAUUAGAAAUAUCGAGGGAUGAAGGGAAUGAUGAAUAAGUUUUUACAAUUUUGAAACUGAAAGAUUAAGAGAGAGAAAAAAAUGGCACUUUUUCAAGUAUAGAAGAAACGUAGUCUUUGAAAAACGUCCCCAAAGUUUAUCCCUGAACGCAAAUCGAUUCGAAACAACGCUCCUUUUGCCACAAGUUAGGUCUGUUGGAGAUUAGAAGAGAGAAAAAAUGGCACUUUUCCAAGAAUAGAAGAAACGUAGUCUUUGAAAAACAUUCUCAAAGUUUAUCCCUGAACGCAAAUUGAUUUGAAACAAUGCUCCUUUUGUCCCAAAUCAGGAUUGUUAGAAGAGAAAAAAAAAUGGCACUUUUCCAAG
Long non-coding RNA from Apis laboriosa (Himalayan honeybee), 986 nucleotides. RefSeq lists it as uncharacterized. NCBI's taxonomy places the organism in Eukaryota, Metazoa, Arthropoda, Insecta, Hymenoptera, Apidae. The record is from RefSeq and is a predicted model, not a curated record. The transcript has 3 exons.